AAUACCGGAUAAUAAGAGAAGAAGCAUUUCUUCUUUUUGAAAGUCGGUUUCGGCUGACACUUACAGAUGAGCCCGCGGCGCAUUAGCUAGUUGGUGAGGUAACGGCUCACCAAGGCGACGAUGCGUAGCCGACCUGAGAGGGUGAUCGGCCACACUGGGACUGAGACACGGCCCAGACUCCUACGGGAGGCAGCAGUAGGGAAUCUUCGGCAAUGGGCGAAAGCCUGACCGAGCAACGCCGCGUGAGCGAUGAAGGCCUUCGGGUCGUAAAGCUCUGUUGUUAGAGAAGAACAAGUACGAGAGUAACUGCUCGUACCUUGACGGUACCUAACCAGAAAGCCACGGCUAACUACGUGCCAGCAGCCGCGGUAAUACGUAGGUGGCAAGCGUUAUCCGGAAUUAUUGGGCGUAAAGCGCGCGCAGGCGGUCUCUUAAGUCUGAUGUGAAAGCCCACGGCUCAACCGUGGAGGGUCAUUGGAAACUGGGAGACUUGAGUGCAGGAGAGAAAAGUGGAAUUCCACGUGUAGCGGUGAAAUGCGUAGAGAUGUGGAGGAACACCAGUGGCGAAGGCGGCUUUUUGGCCUGUAACUGACGCUGAGGCGCGAAAGCGUGGGGAGCAAACAGGAUUA
This 629-nucleotide ribosomal RNA is filed under the name Fictibacillus nanhaiensis. RNAcentral describes it as "bacterial SSU rRNA". It matches the Rfam family "Bacterial small subunit ribosomal RNA", at positions 165 to 780 of the family's 1533-position model. The record is from RNAcentral. Lineage: Bacteria; Bacillati; Bacillota; Bacilli; Caryophanales; Fictibacillaceae.